RNAcentral lists this ribosomal RNA (427 nucleotides) under uncultured bacterium. Its description in RNAcentral is "bacterial SSU rRNA". It matches the Rfam family "Bacterial small subunit ribosomal RNA", at positions 355 to 774 of the family's 1533-position model. The record is from RNAcentral.
UGGGGAAUUUUGGACAAUGGGCGCAAGCCUGAUCCAGCCAUGCCGCGUGAGUGAAGAAGGCCUUCGGGUUGUACAGCUCUUUCGGACGGGAAGAAAUGGCGGGCUCUAACAUAGCCUGUCGAUGACGGUACCGUAAGAAGAAGCACCGGCUAACUACGUGCCAGCAGCCGCGGUAAUACGUAGGGUGCGAGGGUUAAUCGGAAUUACUGGGCGUAAAGCGUGCGCAGGCGGGAUAAAAAGUCAGUGGUGAAAUCCUACAGCUUAACUGUAGAACUGCCAUUGAUACUUUUAUUCUUGAGUUCGGGAGAGAGAGACGGAAUUCCAGGUGUAGUGGUGAAAUACGUAGAUAUCUGGAAGAACACCAGUUGCGAAGGCGGUCUCUUGGUCCGACACUGACGCUGAGGCGCGAAAGCGUGGGGAGCAAACA